Molecule: small RNA, 131 nt
Filed under: Salmonella enterica
Lineage: Bacteria; Pseudomonadati; Pseudomonadota; Gammaproteobacteria; Enterobacterales; Enterobacteriaceae
Description: RtT sRNA
Rfam family: RtT RNA
About the family: This family represents a bacterial cis-regulatory element known as RtT RNA.
Source: RNAcentral
AUAUCUCUCCGUACGGGAAGGAUGAGAAGCUUUGACUAAGGUUCGAUUCGAGCGCAGCGAGAAAGCGUUGCCGCAGGCAACGACCCGAAGGGUGAGGAGCGGAGCGACAAAUAAUCCUUCCCCCACCAUCA